Long non-coding RNA from Patiria miniata (bat star), 194 nucleotides. RefSeq lists it as uncharacterized. Lineage: Eukaryota; Metazoa; Echinodermata; Asteroidea; Valvatida; Asterinidae. The transcript has 3 exons. The record is from RefSeq and is a predicted model, not a curated record.
UGAGCGUCCUCACAAAUGAACUGACACCGUCUCUGUGCACCAUGAUACAACUAUGCACCUCAAGUGUGGAGCAUGUCCAGCCCAGACCAGCCGCCAAGGCCGUUAUGGUGCCUCCAUCAGACGGUAACGUCUGCACGGAAUGCAAGCAGAUGAUUGCGGACAUAAAGGACAUCCUGAGCAACACCACCGUACAG